CAGUGAUGGUUAAGAAUUUCUUCACCUGAAUAAACCAUGUGGUCAGCAUUGCAUCUGAGGCAAAAGACUGUCUUGAGCUAAAAGGUAUUUUUGCAUUCUAAAAGGGAAACUAAGGCAAAAAACCCACUUUUGUUUUCCCUCCUGCCUUUUUAGGGAAGACAAAGGCACUUUGGCUAAGCUGGUGGAAGCUAUCAGGACCAAUUACAAUGACAGAUACGAUGAGAUCCGCCGUCACUGGGGUGGCAAUGUCCUGGGUCCUAAGUCUGUGGCUCGUAUCGCCAAGCUCGAAAAGGCAAAGGCUAAAGAACUUGCCACUAAACUGGGUUAAAUGUACACUGUUGAGUUUUCUGUACAUAAAGAUAAUUAAAAUAAUAC
Molecule: small RNA, 375 nt
Filed under: Pan troglodytes (chimpanzee)
Lineage: Eukaryota; Metazoa; Chordata; Mammalia; Primates; Hominidae
Source: RNAcentral